RNAcentral lists this transfer RNA (61 nucleotides) under Ichthyophis bannanicus. RNAcentral's name for it is "tRNA-Cys". The record is from RNAcentral. Lineage: Eukaryota; Metazoa; Chordata; Amphibia; Gymnophiona; Ichthyophiidae.
GUAGUGAAUUUCACAUAAGAUUGCAAAUCUUAAAAUAUAGGGUAACCCCUACCCUGGCUUU